GAUGAAGAACGUAGCGAAAUGCGAUAAGUAAUGUGAAUUGCAGAAUUCAGUGAAUCAUCGAAUCUUUGAACGCACAUUGCGCCCGCCAGUAUUCUGGCGGGCAUGCCUGUUCGAGCGUCAUUUCAACCAUCAAGCCCCAGGCUUGUGUUGGGGACCUGCGGCUGCCGCAGGCCCUGAAAACCAGUGGCGGGCUUGCUGUCACACCGGGCGUAGUAGAUUUUAUCUCGCUCAGGGCGUGCUGCGGGUUCCGGCCGUUAAAAAGCCUUUUUACCCAAGGUUGACCUCGGAUCAGGUAGGAAUACCCGCUGAACUUAAGCAUAUCAAUAAGCGGAGGA
RNAcentral lists this unclassified non-coding RNA (335 nucleotides) under soil metagenome. Its description in RNAcentral is "partial contains 5.8S ribosomal RNA, internal transcribed spacer 2, and large subunit ribosomal RNA". The stretch from base 1 to 120 matches the Rfam family "5.8S ribosomal RNA", at positions 35 to 154 of the family's 154-position model. The record is from RNAcentral.